AAUAAGAUAGGAUAAAUUUAGUCUGGAAGGUUCAUAUCCUUUGGGUGUUUUCUUGUUG
RNAcentral lists this transfer RNA (58 nucleotides) under Angiostrongylus mackerrasae. Its description in RNAcentral is "tRNA-Met". Lineage: Eukaryota; Metazoa; Nematoda; Chromadorea; Rhabditida; Metastrongylidae. The record is from RNAcentral.